GACGAACGCUGGCGGCGUGCCUAAUACAUGCAAGUUGAGCGCUGAAGGUUGGUCCUUGUACCAACUGGAUGAGCAGCGAACGGGUGAGUAACGCGUGGGGAAUCUGCCUUUGAGCGGGGGACAACAUUUGGAAACGAAUGCCAAUACCGCAUAAAAACUUUAAACACAAGUUUUAAGUUUGAAAGAUGCAAUUGCUUCACUCAAAGAUGAUCCCGCGUUGUAUUAGCUAGUUGGUGAGGUAAAGGCUCACCAAGGCGAUGAUACAUAGCCGACCUGAGAGGGUGAUCGGCCACAUUGGGACUGAGACACGGCCCAAACUCCUACGGGAGGCAGCAGUAGGGAAUCUUCGGCAAUGGACGAAAGUCUGACCGAGCAACGCCGCGUGAGUGAAGAAGGUUUUCGGAUCGUAAAACUCUGUUGGUAGAGAAGAACGUUGGUGAGAGUGGAAAGCUCAUCAAGUGACGGUAACUACCCAGAAAGGGACGGCUAACUACGUG
RNAcentral lists this ribosomal RNA (497 nucleotides) under uncultured bacterium. Its description in RNAcentral is "partial 16S ribosomal RNA". It matches the Rfam family "Bacterial small subunit ribosomal RNA", at positions 28 to 507 of the family's 1533-position model. The record is from RNAcentral.